RNAcentral lists this ribosomal RNA (447 nucleotides) under uncultured bacterium. Its description in RNAcentral is "bacterial SSU rRNA". It matches the Rfam family "Bacterial small subunit ribosomal RNA", at positions 330 to 792 of the family's 1533-position model. The record is from RNAcentral.
ACCAGACUCCUACGGGAGGCAGCAGUGGGGAAUAUUGCGCAAUGGGCGAAAGCCUGACGCAGCGACGCCGCGUGAAGGAAGAAGGCUUUCGGGUUGUAAACUUCUUUUGACAGGGAAGAGUAGAAGACGGUACCUGUCGAAUAAGCCACGGCUAACUACGUGCCAGCAGCCGCGGGAAUACGUAGGGGGCAAGCGUUAUCCGGAUUUACUGGGUGUAAAGGGAGCGUAGACGGCAGAGCAAGUCUGAAGUGAAAGCCCGCGGCCCAACUGCGGGACUGCUUUGGAAACUGCCCGGCUAGAGUGCUGGAGAGGUAAGCGGAAUUCCUAGUGUAGCGGUGAAAUGCGUAGAUAUUAGGAGGAACACCAGUGGCGAAGGCGGCUUACUGGACAGUAACUGACGUUGAGGCUCGAAAGCGUGGGGAGCAAACAGGAUUAGAUACCCCUGUA